UCACCAACAGCCCCGUACCACACGGCGUUGGCGCCCAGGAAGAGGCAGAUGAGGAGAACGCAGCAGGUGGCCCUCUGGAUGCGAGUGAAACAGCUACGAGGCGGCCGGUCCCAUAUGGAGAGCCAGAUGUGCUUGUCAAAGAAGCCACGCUGCAGCUCAGCCACCAGCAGGCGCCGGAAGCGCAACAGGGCUGCGUGACC
Molecule: long non-coding RNA, 200 nt
Filed under: Homo sapiens (human)
Lineage: Eukaryota; Metazoa; Chordata; Mammalia; Primates; Hominidae
Description: HSALNT0228374
Source: RNAcentral